GCAUAAGGCCAGUAAAAAGAAGAGUAAGAAAAUUGGUUCUCCUAUUCAUUUGAAGAAUGUAGGCCCAACUAUCCUGUUCAUCCUUCGGACCGUGACAUUGUCCGCAUCAAUUGCAGUCAUCACACCACAGGUACUAGAAAAGGCAUAGAUUCAAUUUUGUUUGAUGAUGCGGAGGAAGCAAUCCAAACAAUUAAGCUUGGUAAGGAUUUGGGCCUCACUUUUUUGGCGCCAGAUGAGGAGAUUCUAGAUUUCAUGUCAACCAUAUUAGUUCUCAUUUAGCCCUACGGAUGAAAGGAAAAUAGUCUCUGCUGAUUUUACACUCUUGGGUUGGUUUAAUUUUUUAAGGAUUGAUUUGUGGUUUUCAGCUCUUUCGUUGUUUUGGAGUUUUCGGCUUGAGUGGUUCUUUAAAAUUCUGUGCAGUUCAACUCUUUUCUUGAUUUGUGUUUUUUGAGUUUUUUGUUGUGAUGGUCUUCGAGUGGGGAUGCUAUCUUGAUUUCUUCCUACUAUGACUCUAAAUUGGUUCCAAAUCGUUUUUGGCACUGACAUCUCUUUUGCAUUUGUGCUUUGAAUGGCCUCUGUCAGAUAUUGGAAGAGGUCUUUGUUAGUCGUCUAAACGAUGCCUAAUCGAAAACUUUAUUGACUCAGUUCACAUCUCUUCCUGUGGAAUCUCUGAAGCGUAGGUGGUGCAAAGUAUAGGAAAUGUAUUUUUUUUGGCAAUUCAGGUGGCUUGCAUGCUUGUUGGCAUUACAUAACUUUCGAAUUGAUCAUCUCCUCUUACUCCCAAAUUCAAUUAAAGGGAAGGAAGAAGUGUUCACAAAGCGUUUCAAGAAGUUUAAGGAAGAAGUAAGGAUGAUUCUCUUCAAUUAAUGUUGAUGAAGGGGUCCAAUUGCGUAAGCAAGAGUGGAUUUUGUUUCCUUGGGGAAUUAUUUCAGUCAAAGAUGGCAGCAGGUACUUAGGUGUCAAAAUGGGAAGAGGUUGAAUUUUUUUAGUUGGAUUUUCUACUGCACUGGAAGGUCUUGGGCCUUAAUUUCCUCUAUUUUCCCUUCUUUUAUGCUUCUCUGUUUUUGAUUUGGAGGCAGCUAUCCCUUGGCAAGAUGCAUGGGGUUUAUAAGGCAAUUU
RNAcentral lists this unclassified non-coding RNA (1119 nucleotides) under Hevea brasiliensis (rubber tree). The record is from RNAcentral. Lineage: Eukaryota; Viridiplantae; Streptophyta; Magnoliopsida; Malpighiales; Euphorbiaceae.